AUACGGAGGGGGCAAGCGUUGUUCGGAAUUACUGGGCGUAAAGGGCGCGUAGGCGGGCUGGUUAGUUGGGGGUGAAAUCCCAGGGCUCAACCCUGGAACUGCCCUCAAUACUGCCAGUCUUGAGUUCGAGAGAGGUAAGUGGAAUUCCUAGUGUAGAGGUGAAAUUCGUAGAUAUUAGGAAGAACACCAGUGGCGAAGGCGGCUUACUGGCUCGAUACUGACGCUGAGGCGCGAAAGCGUGGUGAGCAAACAGAAUUAGAAACCCCGGUAGUCC
RNAcentral lists this ribosomal RNA (274 nucleotides) under uncultured bacterium. RNAcentral's name for it is "partial 16S ribosomal RNA". It matches the Rfam family "Bacterial small subunit ribosomal RNA", at positions 523 to 796 of the family's 1533-position model. The record is from RNAcentral.